CUUUAAUUUUGCUAUUUUCAUGUUUUAUUUAACAGGAAAAGUCUUUAAAAAGAUCAGCUACUCAAGAUGAGGUAUUUGAGCAUACACAUAUGAAGAAGCUAAAGGAUGGAACAAAGACAACUUGGAUCGAGCCACGAGCCGAGACAACCUAUAAUACUUUCAAACAAUCAUUGGAGGAAUUUGUUCAAAGCCAACCAACUGAUGAUCAAGGAAAGCCAACCCAACCAUCCCAGGAGGAUUAUAUGGACUUGUGGAUUAAGGCGGCUGGUGGCGUACAUUAGGGAAGAGUAUACGGCCUUGGAUCAGAGUUUAGUUCUAGUCGUCGGUCUUUUGGAUCUGGUGGCUCUUCUUCCUCAAGGUCCUCGAUUAAUCAGGAUGAGUUUGAGCUAUUGAAUAGAAGAAUAGCAGAGAUCACUGAGUUGUAUGCACAGGAAAGGGCUGCGCAGGAGGAGGAGGCAAAGCGAAGGGAGGAGGAGGCAAAUCGAAGGGAGGAAGAAGAUAGGUGGAGGGAGGAAGAUGAGGGGCGGAGGGAUGAAGAAAUGAGGCGAAAAGAUGUUGCAUUUACACGUGUCACUGGUGACGUUGAAAGCCUCAAGGCCCAGCUAAACUACCUCUUAGCAUCUGGUGGAUUUCCUGUGCCACGUUCUCCAUCACGCUCUAACAAGACAAAGGAGUUAUUAAUAUGAUUUUGGGUAGGACUAUGAUGUUGGAUGUUAUGUAUCAAUUGGAUAAGAUUGAAUGCUGAAUUUCUUAUUUAUGUUAAGUUGCAUUAUUGGUUUCUAGUA
Molecule: long non-coding RNA, 785 nt
Organism: Nicotiana attenuata
Lineage: Eukaryota; Viridiplantae; Streptophyta; Magnoliopsida; Solanales; Solanaceae
Exons: 2
Source: RefSeq, a predicted model, not a curated record